UACAGAGGUCCCGAGCGUUGUUCGGAUUCAUUGGGCGUAAAGGGUGCGUAGGCGGCGGGGCAAGUCUGAUGUGAAAUCCCGGGGCUCAACCCCGGAACUGCAUUGGAUACUGCCUUGCUUGAGUACUGGAGAGGGAACUGGAAUUUACGGUGUAGCAGUGAAAUGCGUAGAGAUCGUAAGGAAGGCCAGUGGCGAAGGCGAGUUCCUGGACAGUGACUGACGCUGAGGCACGAAGGCCAGGGGAGCAAACAGG
This 253-nucleotide ribosomal RNA is filed under the name uncultured bacterium. RNAcentral's name for it is "partial 16S ribosomal RNA". It matches the Rfam family "Bacterial small subunit ribosomal RNA", at positions 524 to 776 of the family's 1533-position model. The record is from RNAcentral.